Molecule: long non-coding RNA, 939 nt
Organism: Rhagoletis pomonella (apple maggot)
Lineage: Eukaryota; Metazoa; Arthropoda; Insecta; Diptera; Tephritidae
Exons: 2
Source: RefSeq, a predicted model, not a curated record
GCUAUAAAAAUACAAUAUUUAUGAGUAGCUGUGAAAAUUUUGUACACUUUUGGUUUAGUCGAUAUAUAGCACCGCAUCAGUGUACAACGAAAAUGGGAAAAGCAGAAAGUGCUGGGUUGUUCAGAGAUGAGCAAUUCAGUUUGGGGGAAAAAAAUUUACGUAAAAUUGUGCUGAACAACUUGGCAAAUUGCGUAAAUUCAUUUUAAAGUACUACAGCGAACGAAAACGAAUAUAAAACGUCGAAAUUUUUUGAUAUUUAGUACAAGUCGAUCUAAAUUUUCUUAAAGUUACCACGUUGAAACGUUGAUAACUUUUUACGAAAUAGCUGUGAUAUUUUUGUAUCUCUAAUACAUUUCCAACUUAUACGGUUGGAAUAGAUUUUCCUAAAAUUUUCUUUGAUUUAUGUCGCUAAGCACAAGUUGUGUCCUUGUGUAAGGUACGUGAGCGGAAGAGCUGGAGCUUGCGAAGGAGAAUUACAUGGCAGGCGACAGUAACGGUGGUGGCGACAAUGGGGACAGUUGGGCAACGGCCAAGUCACAGAGACGGUCGCCCUUCACACAUCCCCAACUGCUCCACCCAACAACACUCUGCUCUACAGGCACUCAGGUUCAACAGUGAUAUUCUCUCUCAUUAAGUGAUUGUGGUGACCUUCGGCCACACAAAUACACAAUUGCAACCAUUUGCUGUAAUUGCUAUGUUUUUUUUAAGUUAAAAAAGCUAGUAUGUAAGCAAAUUGGCUGUCUGUGAUAUUUUUUGUGUAUUUGUCAUAGAUCUAAAAGCUAGAAAAACAGCAAAAAAUGCUAGCAGUAAUCUAUUUUAAUUUAUUUAAAUUCUAUUACUGAGCAAAUUUUUGCUGUGCAAGGCAAAUUUAGAUUUAUGAUAAAUUGUGAUAAGAAACUGUGAUAUGUUUUGUGUUCAUUUUUUUUUUGUAUAAAACUG